Jaculus jaculus (lesser Egyptian jerboa) is the source of this 148-nucleotide small nucleolar RNA. The record is from Ensembl. Lineage: Eukaryota; Metazoa; Chordata; Mammalia; Rodentia; Dipodidae.
UGUGCACAUUGUUAGAGCUUGGAGUUGAGGCCACAAGCUGGCCAGUGAACUCACAAGUGUAGGUAGUGUGCGACAUGAGUGGCAAGUUUUCGCUAACGCUCCGCUCUAACCCGGUGAGUGGAGUUUGAUAGUAAACUGUGCUACAAGC